UACGGAGGGGGCUAGCGUUGUUCGGAAUUACUGGGCGUAAAGCGCACGUAGGCGGCUUUGUAAGUUAGGGGUGAAAUCCCGGGGCUCAACCCCGGAACUGCCUUUAAUACUGGCAAUCUCGAGUCCGAGAGAGGUGAGUGGAAUUCCGAGUGUAGAGGUGAAAUUCGUAGAUAUUCGGAGGAACACCAGUGGCGAAGGCGGCUCACUGGCUCGGUACUGACGCUGAGGUGCGAAAGCGUGGGGAGCAAACAGG
This 253-nucleotide ribosomal RNA is filed under the name uncultured bacterium. Its description in RNAcentral is "partial 16S ribosomal RNA". It matches the Rfam family "Bacterial small subunit ribosomal RNA", at positions 524 to 776 of the family's 1533-position model. The record is from RNAcentral.